GAUGAACGCUAGCUACAGGCUUAACACAUGCAAGUCGAGGGGUAACGAGAGGAAAGCUUGCUUUCCUUGUCGACGACCGGCGCACGGGUGAGUAACGCGUAUCCAACCUGCCCCCAACUAAGGAAUAACCUUGCGAAAGUAAGACUAAUACCUUAUAAUUUCCCCAGAUGACAUCUGACGAGGAAUAAAGAUUUAUCGGUUGUGGAUGGGGAUGCGUCUGAUUAGCUUGUUGGCGGGGUAACGGCCCACCAAGGCAACGAUCAGUAGGGGUUCUGAGAGGAAGGUCCCCCACAUUGGAACUGAGACACGGUCCAAACUCCUACGGGAGGCAGCAGUGAGGAAUAUUGGUCAAUGGGCGGAAGCCUGAACCAGCCAAGUAGCGUGCAGGAUGACGGCCCUAUGGGUUGUAAACUGCUUUUAUACAGGAAUAAAGUUAGCCACGUGUGGUUAUUUGUAGGUACUGUAUGAAUAAGGACCGGCUAAUUCCGUGCCAGCCGCCGCCGUAA
RNAcentral lists this ribosomal RNA (506 nucleotides) under uncultured bacterium. RNAcentral's name for it is "partial 16S ribosomal RNA". It matches the Rfam family "Bacterial small subunit ribosomal RNA", at positions 28 to 523 of the family's 1533-position model. The record is from RNAcentral.